RNAcentral lists this ribosomal RNA (253 nucleotides) under Basilea sp. RNAcentral's name for it is "partial 16S ribosomal RNA". It matches the Rfam family "Bacterial small subunit ribosomal RNA", at positions 524 to 776 of the family's 1533-position model. The record is from RNAcentral. Lineage: Bacteria; Pseudomonadati; Pseudomonadota; Betaproteobacteria; Burkholderiales; Alcaligenaceae.
UACGGAGGGGGCGAGUGUUGUUCGGAAUUACUGGGCGUAAAGCGUGCGCAGGCGGCGCCGCAAGUCGAGUGUGAAAUCCCCGAGCUUAACUUGGGAAUUGCGCUCGAAACUACGGUGCUGGAGUGUGGCAGAGGGAGGUGGAAUUCCACGUGUAGCGGUGAAAUGCGUAGAGAUGUGGAGGAACACCGAUGGCGAAGGCAGCCUCCUGGGCCAACACUGACGCUCAUGCACGAAAGCGUGGGGAGCAAACAGG